Long non-coding RNA from Limulus polyphemus (Atlantic horseshoe crab), 2368 nucleotides. RefSeq lists it as uncharacterized. The record is from RefSeq and is a predicted model, not a curated record. NCBI's taxonomy places the organism in Eukaryota, Metazoa, Arthropoda, Merostomata, Xiphosura, Limulidae. The transcript has 3 exons.
UACGAAUAUAAAUAUCACAAACAAUUACUUACACCUGACUUUUUAAACUAGUUAUUUAUCAGAAACCAAAGACGGAAAAAUACCUUUAACAGCUGCUAUUAUUUGACUAUCGAAUCAGAAAUCAAGGAACUAAAAACAUAUCACAGCUCUAUUAUAAUUGAUCUACAGGUUCGUGUACUUGACAUAUCGAUUGAAGCUCAUAAAAAAGUCGGUUUGAUUGAGUCUUCAGUAAACUCAAACUUAAACAACAAACAAGAGGUUCAGCAAGGAGGAUUCUGUGGAAUAGCUAUUUAAACCUCUAUGUUGAAAUUUCUCCAUCUUAGAACUCUUGAGUUGAAAGAGGGUAAAAAUUAAAUAUCAAAGUUCGGUGUAUUCAUAAGAUGAAUACCCAGUAAGUGAUUAUGAUUUUAAAACUAUUACGAGAAGCCUGUAAAAUAUUCAGAAAAUUGUGAUAUUGUGGUUAAAUGAAACUAAAUUAAGGUCCCCUUAUUAGAAAAGCAACAAAAACUAAUUUGUAUCCUCUUUUACCAUCGUAUCUUGAAAUUUUUAACAAGACCAUAAGAGGUUUCUAAAACUUUCGGUUUAUGCCAAUGAACACUAGCCGCACCCCAUUGGUCAGUAAUAAGUCUGAGGGUUUAUAAAGCUCAAAAUCCAGUUUUGAUACCAGUGUUGGGCAGAGCACAGAUAGCACAUUGUGUUACUCCGUGUUUAACAGCAAUAAAACUGAAUACAAGCCACAGUUUGACUAGACACUAAUGUUUUUCUUUGUAUGUUCUUGCAAUCGGUCCUUUUUAGCAAGAAUAGUUGGAAAAUUUCCUUUAAGUCAAUCCAGUUUUGUUUGAUGUUUUCUAGUGGACUAGAAUAAUUACUAAGAACAGUAGUGCUCAUCUGUCAGUCUACUCAAUUUCUUCAGCCGAUAUAACCAUUUGUUAUAAAUCAUGGAACUUCAAACCUGCAAUAAGAUUAAAAGUAGUCAUUUCUAGCUCAAUGAUUGAAACUACUGUGUCUUGUAUAAUGAAAAUACUAAUAUGAUUAGCAUAAGCUGUAAUGGGAAACUGUAUAUAAUAUAAAAGGGCAAGCCACUGAGAGAUUAACCUUGGUGCAUUCAUCAAUGGAACCUAACUUUACUCAAAGGAUAGAACCACAUAUAUUAUUAAAGGAAAAAUUAACCCAUCGAAAAAAUAAAUAAAUAAAUAGAAUUUAGGCUGUGACGUACCUUAAUGCUGUGGUUCUACAACGAGAAAAAAGUCGAGGGUGAGAAACUAAUUUCGUAUAACACAGUAGGUCCUCACUUUAUCAGAUAAAUUAUCAUCCAGGCUAUUGAUUUAAUAAACAGAAUCUUUGAUAUUUGUAAUAUUUAUAAAAUUAUUUUUAUUACAGAUUAUUCCGAAGACCGAUAUUUUCAACUGAACUGUAUCGUGGAGUCUUGUUAUACCGGUCAGUUGAUAGCGGAGACUAGUUACAGCACCUCUUGUCCAGUUAGUUCACCUGCGGAGAGGACUGAAAAUCUUUGUACUAGUCACCUAAGUGGCAUUAAUACAUCAAACAGAAGUCCAAGACGAACUAGUCCUGAGGGCGUGACAUACGCUGAGUUGGCUCUGCCUAGAAUUGGCCAAUGCUCUUCAGCCGUUAGACAGCAGGAACCACCGACAGAGUACGCCACUAUCAGAGGUCAGCUGCAAGAUACAGAGGAUGAUGACUGUACCACCUCAUGUGAAACACCAUUAAUGAGUGGUGGUAGACGAGAAAGUGCAGUUUAGGGAAAGAGGAAGAGACACACAAAAGGGACCAAUCACCCAGAAUAUAAGAAGAUGACCUCCAAGGUCUUCCUUAUGAAUUCUGAUCGUAUAGAACUUAUAUUAAAGAUUAGGCAAGGAAAGAAGAUUAUCUCAACAAUUAAGUAUAGGUAAUAAGUGCACUCGCUGCCUUAAUUAGACACUAGAAUAAGCGUGUUUUGUGAUCUUAUACAAUGAAAAGUUAUUCAAGAAAUCUUGAAAUUAUUUUGGAAUGGACCUCUGGAUCAUGCAUUGACAGCCUGUAUGUAGUUACCAGUUAUUGCUUACAUUGACUUAUGUGGUUAAGUUUAGUUUAUGAAUUUUAUUCAAGAUAAUAAGUAGUAAUUAUCUUUUUUUUUGUGACUGCUUCAUCAUACUUAGUAAGGCCUAAUUUAUGAACGGGUAACUAUAUCUACAGCACUUUACAUUAAGUUAAUGGAUGAACAUAUCAUAUUUGUUUGUAUGUGUGUUUGUGUUUUUAAGUUAUCCUAAUAAUUGUAUGUUUAUUUUUCACAGAAAAGUGUUGCUUGAUAGUACUGUUCUAUAAUGUAUUGUAUUUACAAUGUCUAUCUUAUUUGAAAUAAAAUAUAAAG